CCCGCAAGGGGAGUGGCAGACGGGUGAGUAACGCGUGGGAACAUACCCUUUCCUGCGGAAUAGCUCCGGGAAACUGGAAUUAAUACCGCAUACGCCCUACGGGGGAAAGAUUUAUCGGGGAAGGAUUGGCCCGCGUUGGAUUACCUAGUUGGUGGGGUAAAGGCCUACCAAGGCGACGUAUCCAUAGCUGGUCUGAGAGGAUGAUCAGCCACAUUGGGACUGAGACACGCCCAAACUCCUACGGGAGGCAGCAGUGGGGAAUAUUGGACAAUGGGCGCAAGCCUGAUCCAGCCAUGCCGCGUGAGUGAUGAAGGCCUUAGGGUUGUAAAGCUCUUUCACCGGAGAAGAUAUUGACGGUAUCCGGAGAAGAAGCCCCGGCUAACUUCGUGCCAACAGCCGCGGUAAUACGAAGGGGGCUAGCGUUGUUCGGAAUUACUGGGCGUAAAGCGCACGUAGGCGGAUAUUUAAGUCAGGGGUGAAAUCCCAGAGCUCAACUCUGGAACUGCCUUUGAUACUGGGUAUCUUGAGUAUGGAAGAGGUAAGUGGAACUUCCGAGUGUAGAGGUGAAAUUCGUAUAUAUUCGGAGGAACACCAGUGGCGAAGGCGGCUUACUGGUCCAUUACUGACGCUGAGGUGCGAAAGCGUGGGGGAGCAAACAGGAUUAGAUACCCUGGUAGUCCACGCCCGUAAACGAUGAAUGUUAGCCGUCAGGGCAGUAUACUGUUCGGAGUCGCACUAACGCAUUAAACAUUCCGCCUGGGGAGUACGGUCGCAAGAUUAAAACUCAAAGGAAUUGACCGGGGGCCCGCACAAGCGGUGGAGCAUGUGGUUUAAUUCGAAGCAACGCGCAGAACCUUACCAGCUCUUGACAUUCGGGGUUUGGGCAGUGGAGACAUUGUCCUUCAGUUAGGCUGGCCCCAGAACAGGUGCUGCAUGGCUGUCGUCAGC
Molecule: ribosomal RNA, 948 nt
Filed under: Agrobacterium tumefaciens
Lineage: Bacteria; Pseudomonadati; Pseudomonadota; Alphaproteobacteria; Hyphomicrobiales; Rhizobiaceae
Description: bacterial SSU rRNA
Rfam family: Bacterial small subunit ribosomal RNA
Source: RNAcentral